UACGGAGGAUGCAAGCGUUAUCCGGAUUUAUUGGGUUUAAAGGGUGCGUAGGCGGCCUGUUAAGUCAGAGGUGAAAGGUUGCGGCUUAACCGCAGAAUUGCCUUUGAUACUGGCAGGCUUGAAUAAAGUUGAGGUAGGCGGAAUGUGGCAAGUAGCGGUGAAAUGCAUAGAGAUGCCACAGAACACCGAUUGCGAAGGCAGCUUACUAAGCUUUGAUUGACGCUGAGGCACGAAAGCGUGGGGAUCAAACAGG
Molecule: ribosomal RNA, 253 nt
Filed under: uncultured bacterium
Lineage: Bacteria
Description: partial 16S ribosomal RNA
Rfam family: Bacterial small subunit ribosomal RNA
Source: RNAcentral